This 145-nucleotide ribosomal RNA is filed under the name Armillaria sp. 5 TG-2016. RNAcentral describes it as "partial large subunit ribosomal RNA". It matches the Rfam family "Eukaryotic large subunit ribosomal RNA", at positions 1 to 144 of the family's 3401-position model. The record is from RNAcentral. Lineage: Eukaryota; Fungi; Basidiomycota; Agaricomycetes; Agaricales; Physalacriaceae.
UUGACCUCAAAUCAGGUAGGACUACCCGCUGAACUUAAGCAUAUCAAUAAGCGGAGGAAAAGAAACUAACAAGGAUUCCCCUAGUAACUGCGAGUGAAGAGGGAAAAGCUCAAAUUUAAAAUCUGGCAGCUUCGCUGUCCGAGUU